RNAcentral lists this ribosomal RNA (434 nucleotides) under uncultured bacterium. RNAcentral describes it as "partial 16S ribosomal RNA". It matches the Rfam family "Bacterial small subunit ribosomal RNA", at positions 29 to 507 of the family's 1533-position model. The record is from RNAcentral.
AGCGAACGCUGGCGGCAGGCCUAACACAUGCAAGUCGAACGAACCUUUCGGGGUUAGUGGCGAACGGGUGAGUAACACGUGGGAACGUGCCUUUAGGUUCGGAAUAACUCAGGGAAACUUGUGCUAAUACCGAAUGUGCCCUUCGGGGGAAAGAUUUAUCGCCUUUAGAGCGGCCCGCGUCUGAUUAGCUAGUUGGUUGAGGUAAUGGCUCACCAAGGCGACGAUCAGUAGCUGGUCUGAGAGGAUGAUCAGCCACAUUGGGACUGAGACACGGCCCAAACUCCUACGGGAGGCAGCAGUGGGGAAUCUUGCGCAAUGGGCGAAAGCCUGACGCAGCCAUGCCGCGUGAAUGAUGAAGGUCUUAGGAUUGUAAAAUUCUUUCACCGGGGACGAUAAUGACGGUACCCGGAGAAGAAGCCCCGGCUAACUUCGUG